Molecule: long non-coding RNA, 1146 nt
Organism: Anopheles gambiae (African malaria mosquito)
Lineage: Eukaryota; Metazoa; Arthropoda; Insecta; Diptera; Culicidae
Exons: 2
Source: RefSeq, a predicted model, not a curated record
CGCGCCACUCGAAAUAACCCAAUUAAUAGGGGGUAUGUGAUAAAAACCCGACAUGCAACAUGUGAGCGAAGCGUGAUCGACACACACGAAUGGACACGAAGAAGCACGUUCUUCUUUGAGAGCAGUGGGGUGGCCGCGGGGUCCCCACAAAGUGUCUGCCACCUUUUGCACACCGGCUGUAGCGGAUUUGUUUAGCAUUUUUAGCAUGUCUUUUCUCUGUACGGUGAUGUGUCAAAUCCAACACUCGCUAUAUAUAACGACUUUUUUUUAUAAAUAUAUUUUUACUUCUCUUGCUCAUCCAAUCGGUGUGCAAGCUCUGCAAAGGGAGGUGCAAGUGUCUGUGAGACUAUGUGCAUCCGGCGAAACCGUGUCCACUCUGUACAGCGCAGCAAAACAAGUGCCAAAAGAGUAAGAGCAAACGAUCAAAAGCGACAGUGAUCUGCCCUUUUCCUCUCUCAUCCAAUCCAAACGAUCGGAUUCAAACGAGCUGAUCGUUGCAGAACGCAGAACAGAAGGCGGGACACACACACACACGUCGGCGGCAGUUUUGUCAUCGACCUUUGAACAGAGCGCGAGAAAGUGUUAUGUCUUGAGAUGGUGUGAAAGAAAGGAAUUCACAACACAGCCAUUGCUCCUUCCCGGCUUAUCUUCCUUCCCCUUUAUUACUCACUGUCUGGUGCAGUGAGCUUGAUUUUAUGUGAAUCAUCUCCGGACUGAUAUAAAAAAAAACCUUUUUUUUCCUCUUAUAUCCAUUUCUGUGUUCCAAGAGAUCCCUAUCCCUUUAUCAUCGAGCCUCUAUCAUCUCGUCUCAUGCGGCGUUACUGAGCACAAAGGUUAUACAAAUGGUAACACACAUACCAAGCCAUUUAUUUCCCACAUGCGCGUACGAAUUGUUUCACGGCAGCAGCACAAAAAAAAGGAAUAACUACCCUUAAUCAGAGCCUACACCACUUUGUCUUAUCACAAAAUGGGAAAAUAAGAGCAGCGAGGAAAGAUAUCACCCUGCUAAAGCCCUGGGGCUGACUGGACAGGUCACACAGGCGCUCCAAUUGCAAUAUCUUAUCUUAUCGUGGCAAUAAAAUGUUAAAUAAAUGAAAGAUGUUAAGCAAUGGAACAGAGUAAAACCAGUGUACCUAUCACAUAGUA